Non-coding RNA from Acanthosepion pharaonis, 113 nucleotides. NCBI's taxonomy places the organism in Eukaryota, Metazoa, Mollusca, Cephalopoda, Sepiida, Sepiidae. The record is from the annotation of a GenBank genome assembly.
UACGGCUACAUCAAGUUGAAACAUCGGUUCCCAUACGAUCAGAGAUGUUAAGCAACUUUGAGCCUGUUCAGUAUCUAUAGGGGUGACCGCUUGGGAAUACCAGGUACUGUAAG